RNAcentral lists this ribosomal RNA (253 nucleotides) under uncultured bacterium. RNAcentral describes it as "partial 16S ribosomal RNA". It matches the Rfam family "Bacterial small subunit ribosomal RNA", at positions 524 to 776 of the family's 1533-position model. The record is from RNAcentral.
UACAGAGGGUGCAAGCGUUGUUCGGAAUUACUGGGCGUAAAGCGUGCGCAGGCGGUUAUAUAAGACAGUUGUGAAAUCCCCGGGCUCAACCUGGGAACUGCAUCUGUGACUGUAUAGCUAGAGUACGGUAGAGGGGGAUGGAAUUCCGCGUGUAGCAGUGAAAUGCGUAGAUAUGCGGAGGAACACCGAUGGCGAAGGCAAUCCCCUGGACCUGUACUGACGCUCAUGCACGAAAGCGUGGGGAGCAAACAGG